RNAcentral lists this unclassified non-coding RNA (154 nucleotides) under uncultured fungus. Its description in RNAcentral is "sequence contains ITS1". Lineage: Eukaryota; Fungi. The record is from RNAcentral.
CAAGAAACGAGGCUGCGUGCGCUCAUCCGCCCAGCCCCGCUCCUUACCUUGCCUACUGCACCAUUUGUUGCUUCCUGGCGGCGGACUGCCUGCCGCCAGGGACAUUGGUACAACCCUGUAUAAGUAUUGAAGUCCUGAAAUACGCGAAAUCGUA